AGGUCUCGUGAGCAGAUAGAAUUGUAGUAACAACGAAUCACGAGAAGUACCCAAAGGGCAGACUCUCAGCAGAGGCCGUAGUAGGUUUUUAAUAAAAAAAACUGAAGGGC
Molecule: non-coding RNA, 110 nt
Organism: Erysipelotrichaceae bacterium 3_1_53
Lineage: Bacteria; Bacillati; Bacillota; Erysipelotrichia; Erysipelotrichales; Erysipelotrichaceae
Source: Rfam